RNAcentral lists this ribosomal RNA (501 nucleotides) under uncultured bacterium. Its description in RNAcentral is "bacterial SSU rRNA". It matches the Rfam family "Bacterial small subunit ribosomal RNA", at positions 344 to 837 of the family's 1533-position model. The record is from RNAcentral.
GGAGGCAGCAGUGGGGAAUAUUGCACAAUGGGGGAAACCCUGAUGCAGCCAUGCCGCGUGUAUGAAGAAGGCCUUCGGGUUGUAAAGUACUUUCAGUCGUGAGGAAGGGUGUGUAGUUAAUAGCUGCAUGCCUUGACGUUAGCGACAGAAGAAGCACCGGCUAACUCCGUGCCAGCAGCCGCGGUAAUACGGAGGGUGCGAGCGUUAAUCGGAAUUACUGGGCGUAAAGCGCAUGCAGGCGGUCUGUUAAGCAAGAUGUGAAAGCCCGGGGCUCAACCUCGGAACAGCAUUUUGAACUGGCAGACUAGAGUCUUGUAGAGGGGGGUAGAAUUUCAGGUGUAGCGGUGAAAUGCGUAGAGAUUUGAAGGAAUACCGGUGGGGAAGGCGGCCCCCUGGACAAAGACUGACGCUCAGAUGAGAAAGCGUGGGGAGCAAACAGGAUUAGAUACCCUGGUAGUCCACGCCGUAAACGAUGUAUACUUGGAGGUUGUGGCCUUGAGC